CAUUAUGAUGAUAUCACAACUUUUAACAAUAAUUUUCACAGCCUUGAAAAAUUUGGAUUCUCAAGAUACAUAUAUAUAUGGGGCACAAAGCACUGAUAGACCAAUAUAAUUAAUAUUUUAUCAAAUACAACCUUUGAAAAUACAAAUUUCAAGAUAACCGUAGCCAUAUUCCUCCAAAUCUUCAUUACAAACAUACACAAGAUCAUUAGUUUAUCAUUCCAAACUAAAUUCAAAUAAAACAUUAGAAUUCAGAAUCUCAAAAAUAAACCAUAAUUCAACAUAACAAAUUUUAUCAUUAGGGAAAAGUAAUUGUUUUUUUUUUACCUUAGAUUCAUUUUUGGACUUGUUGGCAGUAGCUUCAGUAUUUCUUGCCAUAGGAAAAGCUGCUCCUUUAGAAGUAGAUAAAAAGGAAACAGAUUAAAAAAACCCAAAAAAUAAAACCUAUUUUGAAAAACACCAAACCUGAGAAACCAACAGACUAAAUUUCCAUGAAAAAGCACAAGAACAAUAAAGCUUCCAUCUUUGAUAGUAAUUUCAUCCCCCACUCAACACAAACUCUUCCUCUUCAACAAUCAACCUCUCUUAUAAACAUACAUUCAAUACUUCAAAGUAUUAAAAUUAUCUUUGAACUACUUGAAACUCUUAAAAUUAUCUCCUGCAUUUAAAUUAAAAGCAAUGUUAAACUCUGCUGUUAGAAAAUCUAAAGAACUCUCUAUUUUCUCUAUUAAUAAAUAGAAUUGUCUAAAAAUGAAGUAUCUCCGCAAUGAAAAACAAAAAUCAAUGGAAUAUGAAAAAGAAGCCUAUCUACAGUAAUCUAGAGUAACGUAUCUGCACAAGUGAAACACAAAUUGACUUAUAAUAAAUUUUCCCAGGUAAUGAAGCAUUCCGAGCAACUAAUUACAAUCUUAAGUGUCAAAACACACAAGUCUCCUAACGGGAAAUCUGAAAUAAAAUUGUGGACUUCAUUCUAAAAGAGAUGAAUCAGGCAUAUCAUCUUCUUGGGUGCAUAUUUAUUAUUAUUAUUCAUAAUCACACUAUGAAAAAAGGAAAGAACAGAGAUAUUGAAACUCAAGCUGGUAAAGCAAUCAUACCAGGCGUAUAUUAGCGGUAAUUAUCGAUCAGCCUGUCUUCCCUCUCUCCGUGUUUGUCUCCUAUUUCAGAAUUGCAUCUUUAGAUAGGUUAAGCUGCAGAAAAAAAAAUUAAGAGACCCAAUCUUCGAACGAAUAUUGAUACCACAAAAUUUUGAUAAAAAGAUCAAAAAAAACAAAGUAAAUGUACAAAUUAGGAACAAUUACUGACAUAUAUGUAAAAAUUCUAGCAAGAAUAAUGCAAAACAGCAAAAAACAAACAAAUUUCAUAAAAAAAAAAAUAGUAAAUGUGCAAAUCAGGAAUAUUUACUGAUAUGUAUGUAAAAAAAUCUAGCAACAAUUAUGCAAAACAACAGAAAUCUAACAUUUACCAACCAAAAUUUAGAUUAGCAGUAGAAGAAGUGCAAUAAACAAAUAAAAUUGCACAAACAACAAACUAAAUUAAAAGAGCUCACAACACAUUCAAAUAGAACAAAGAUGGAUAAACUAUCUACAUAUGUCAACAGGAGAAUUCACAAAGAGAAAUUGAGAAGUAAAGGGGAAAAUAAAGAGGUAUACAGGGGAAUAGACGAUGAGUUGAGUAGCAGUGAUACAAUGAAAAGGCUCUUCAGGUCAUAGCGCUUACUCAGCAAAUUUUACGCUGUGUGUAUAGUAUACAAAAGCCCAUGAAAAUAUUUCAGAACUCAAAAAGGCAAUGAAAAGACUUAAAGCCCCCUGUCUCGGCAUCUGAAAU
Molecule: long non-coding RNA, 1821 nt
Filed under: Nicotiana tabacum (common tobacco)
Lineage: Eukaryota; Viridiplantae; Streptophyta; Magnoliopsida; Solanales; Solanaceae
Description: long non-coding RNA (NTAB_LNC001611)
Source: RNAcentral